UAGUGUAAUAGGGCUUUCAUGGGUGGUGGUUCACCCCUUUUUUGAAAGAAGGGGGUGAUAAUAUGACGGUAUUCGAAGCAUUGGUUUUGAUGAUCUCUUUCUCAACCUUAAUCGUUGCCAUACUGUCUCAACAAAAAAAGUAACCACCCAUUGAACGCCUAGCAAGCCUUUGGGUUGGUUACUUCUCUAACUCAAACGAGUGAGCUGCCCCCUUGAAGGGCUGUUACACAUUAGACCGUUCCAUGUACCAGCAUGGUCG
RNAcentral lists this small RNA (259 nucleotides) under Bacilli bacterium VT-13-104. RNAcentral's name for it is "BsrG". It matches the Rfam family "BsrG". From Rfam's summary of the family: bsrE, bsrG and bsrH pair through intermolecular interactions with antisense sRNAs. SR4 interaction with the 3'UTR of bsrG RNA promotes bsrG degradation and inhibits its translation. SR5 also overlaps bsrG from nucleotide 163 to 52 (Rfam overlap check). Lineage: Bacteria; Bacillati; Bacillota; Bacilli. The record is from Rfam by way of RNAcentral.